This 190-nucleotide ribosomal RNA is filed under the name uncultured bacterium. RNAcentral's name for it is "partial 16S ribosomal RNA". It matches the Rfam family "Bacterial small subunit ribosomal RNA", at positions 332 to 526 of the family's 1533-position model. The record is from RNAcentral.
CAGACUCCUACGGGAGGCAGCAGUGGGGAAUCUUGCGCGAAUUGGACGAAAGUCUGGAACCGCAGCAACGCCGACGUGAGGGACGAAGGGCUUUCUGACGUUGGUAAACCUACUUUCGUACAGGAACGAUUGUGACGGUACCUCGUAGAAGAAGCACCGGCCAACUAUGUGCCAGCAGCCGCGGUAAUUC